AUACGGAGGGUGCAAGCGUUAAUCGGAAUUACUGGGCGUAAAGCGCGCGUAGGCGGUUUAGUAAGUCGGAUGUGAAAGCCCUGGGCUCAACCUGGGAAUUGCAUUCGAUACUGCUUGACUAGAGUAUGGUAGAGGGAAGUGGAAUUUCCGGUGUAGCGGUGAAAUGCGUAGAUAUCGGAAGGAACACCAGUGGCGAAGGCGACUUCCUGGGCCAAUACUGACGCUGAGGUGCGAAAGCAUGGGGAGCAAACAGGAUUAGAAACCCGAGUAGUCC
RNAcentral lists this ribosomal RNA (274 nucleotides) under uncultured bacterium. RNAcentral describes it as "partial 16S ribosomal RNA". It matches the Rfam family "Bacterial small subunit ribosomal RNA", at positions 523 to 796 of the family's 1533-position model. The record is from RNAcentral.